Long non-coding RNA from Alligator mississippiensis (American alligator), 7487 nucleotides. RefSeq lists it as uncharacterized. Lineage: Eukaryota; Metazoa; Chordata; Crocodylia; Alligatoridae. The record is from RefSeq and is a predicted model, not a curated record. The transcript has 2 exons.
AGAAUUUGAUUUUGAUACUACAAUCCAGUUUGUCACUAUUCCAUACACAACACAUGUAAUCUUCCAAUUGAGCAGUUAAAAGUAGUUAAGUCAGAGCCAUCUUAUGUGGUUCUAUUCGAAUUUCUAUUUCCAAGUGAUCGAAAAUGUUCCUAUUGUGGCACCUAGGCAUACAUACAAAAUCACUUAUACAAUUACAUACAAACAUGUUAAUAUCUUAGUAUUAAACUUUAGCACAAGCAGUGCUGCAUUGCAUUCCCUCCAAGAAAUACAAAAAUCCUAACACCCUUUCAUGAUAUCAGAAAAAAAUCUGGAGAAACAGAAUGCCAUGUCUGCAAGGUUAAGUUUUAAGCACAUGUCGAUGAACAAAUCCAAAACCUUUCUGCCCAGGUCUGGAAGAGAUGUAGACUAUAAAAUACAGAUCAGAACUCACCCAGUGAAUUAUACCCAAAAAUAAAUCAAGGCCAAGUCAUGUAUUUGUGCCUUCACCACACAGUUUACCUGACUGAAUCUGAAUAUGCUUGUUCAGACAGUCAGAACCACACACAGAGCAUUGGACAAAACCUCAACACUGAACCUUUCCUGAGUUUUGAAGUGGACAGUAAUUUUCCAGAGAGCAUAGAGGUAACCAUAGUAACAGUGAAAUGGCUGAGGUGCAUGAUGUAUCCCAACCAAAGGGUAAUCCACAUUUAACUGGGAAUAAGCACAGGCACAUGUAUAUCUAAGCACAUGUGUCUUUAAUUUAUAGGUCUAAGUGUCUACCACUAUAUGGUAAUUUAUAUGGUAAAUUAUGACUUUUUAAUGUCUCUGAAACAUGAGCGCCAAAUGAGGUACAAAAACAUGAAGGAAAUUUAAGACUUAAGCAGUCAAUGAGUAAUGUUUAACAUUUCAUUCUUUCUUGAUCCUCCUGUUUAGUACAGUCAAAAAUAAUUUAAUAAAUAUACCCUUGUGGAGUUACAAGAUAACAGUGAGUAAAUGAUAUCUCCAGGAAAAUUAUCUUUCUGCUCUCUUUACAAUUUUUAAUGCUUGUUAACUUAUUUCUUUACUAUACAAUAUGUCACAGGAACAAAAUGCAUUUAGAGGAUUGUAUAAUUUGGAAAGAUUAAGAUGUAGACUAGAGGCAACGGUAUUCAUUAAGACCUCAUAAAUCGGCUACAGUGGUUCAACAGUCUUGGCACUUAACAGAGCCAAGGUGAAGCUACCAAACAUAAUAAAAUAAACUGUAGACCAUAAAUUUAAACCUAAUUCUGGAACAACGGCUGGCUGAGGAACAAACCAAUUGAAUAUAUUUUUAAAGCUUUUUUAAAAUGUUGUAGCCACAGGUACCAAGAGUAUUUUUGCUUGGUUGCCUGUUAUUUCUGACCUUGUAGUGUAUCACUACAUUUUACCCUUAAAAGCAAAACAAAAAAUAUGAAAGUAUCAAAUUCAAUGUAUGGUGAUGUACACAGCAAAAACUAAGUGAUUGAUUGUUAAAUGAGAAGGAAAACAGUCAAACUUUUAACCAAAAUGUUAUCUAUAACUGGAGCCAGUUAACACACAUGGUAACACACAUACCUUAUUGCCUGUAUUUCAAAAUAGUUUCUCCUCUUCUAAUGAAGUUCACUAGGCCAAUCUGGUCAGAGAUGAAAUGGAGCCCCUAUCCACAUUGUACAGUGGGAAAAUAACCAUGUAGACUAACCAUGGUACAGAAGGAAAGAUUUUUUUUUAACUUCAUGAAAAGAAAUGUUCUGCAAGACAGGGUACAGGGUUUUCCUUGAAGUGUUGUUAGUUCCAUAUAGAAAAGACCAAACACCAGUGAAAGGUCCAACUCCUGAAACCAACAGAAAGCAAAAGCUUUGACAAUAGAAGAAGAGGGAUUGAAAGAAGAAACUUUCCCCACCAUACAACAACAUACUUAGGUUGACACCCACUAUUACUUCAACCCAUGGGCCAUAAUAGCAGAAACAACCCAUUGACAUCAGCUGAGAAUUUUGACGGUCCAGUGGAUCAGUAUUAGUUUGGGGUCCACCACCUAGCUCUCUGGCCUUUUCCCAUCAGAGUGCAUUGUAGAAGUCCUCUCCACAAAAGAACAUAGAGAGUCUCUUUGUAUGAAAUCUGUCUUGUUUGCAGUCUAAGUAUGGGUGACUGGUGCCUCCUGAGACUGGGGCGGCAGUUUGCGGGUGGCAGUGGCAGUGGCGGGGUGGUGAGUGGUGACCAUCCGCAGAAGCUGGAGGCAGUGGCAUGGUGAGCAGCGAGCUCCCACAGAAGCCAGUGGCGGCAGCAUGGCAAGCAGCAACCACCCACAGAAGCCGGCGGCAGAAGUGGCAGCGGAGGUGUGGGGAGGUGGUGAGCGGUGACUGCCUGCAAAAGCUGGUGGCAAUAGUGGCAGUGGCAGUGAGAGUGGCAUGGCAAGCGGCAACUGCCUGCAAAAGCCGCCGGCUGUGGCAGUCAAUUUCAGGGAGGGCAUGUGCCCCCCCUACCAGUCACCUAUGGGUCUAAGUACCUCUGUCACCCACUUAAAUUAUGGCCUCGUGUUAGUCACCUAAUACAAUAGGUGACUUUAGGACCUUAUGGUUGCAUCCACAUGUACAGACAUAUGUAGUUUGUAGCACUGCAAACCUCUUUGUAGCCAACAUACCACAUGACACAUCACCUGAACAAAGAAGAAGAGGUUAAUAUCAUAUAUUUGGACUUUAAAAAAGCUUUUGACCUAGUUUCCCAUGAUGUCCUCAUGGCAAAAUUGGGAAACUGCAGCCUCGACAGCCCUACAGUCUGAUGGCAGGGGAACUGGCUCUGAGGUCGGACCCAGAGAGUGGCAGUUGAUGGAACCAAAGCAACAUGGCAUAUAGUGACCACUGAUGUCCCCCAAGACUCCGUUCUUGGACCUGUACUCUUUAAUGUAUUUAUAAAUUAUCUGGACUCUGGUGUCAGAAGUAGACUUGCUAAGUUGGCUGAUGACACCAAACCAUGGGGAAGAGUGGCCACACCUGAGGAUAGGCUGGUGAUCCAGGCUGACCUCAGCAGGUUCGCAAGGUAGGCAGAUGAAAACCUGAUAGAGAGAAAAAACUCGCAUCAAUAUGGAGAGAAAAAACCCACAUCAAACUUAGACGCUCAGCAGUGCUACACUCACUAGCACCACAACUGAAAGAGACUUGGGGGUCAUGAUUGAACACAAGAUGAACGUGAGUCACCAGUGCGAUACCACAAUCGGCAAAGCAAACAAAACUAUGGCUUGCAUCUACCGAUGCAUCUCAAGCAAGACCCAGGAAGUCACUGUCCCACUGUACUCAGCCUUGGUGAGGCCACAGCUAGAGUACUGUGUCCAAUUCUGGGCUCCUCAAUUCAUAACGGAUGUAGAGAAGCUUAAAAUAGUCCAGAGGAGAGCCACACACAUGAUCAGAGGGCAAGAGGGCAUGCUUUAUGAAGAGAGGCUGAGAGCCAUGGUGCAGCAUAGGCUCAGGGGUGACUUGGUGGCAGCCUAUAAGUACAUAAGAGCUGUGUAUCAGGAACUGGGAGAGCAUCUGUUCUCCAGGGCACCAGGGACUGUUGGAAGACAAGGUCUAACCCUCACAAACUCCUGGAAAACCUUUUUAGGCUGGACAUAAGGAAAAACUUCUUUACAACCUGAGUCCCCAAGACCUGGAAUAGCCUCCCCCAGAGGUGGUGUAAGCACCUACUGCGGACACCUUCAAGAAACAUUUGGAUGCCUAUCUUGCUUGCAUCCUUUGACCCUUGCUGACUUCCUGCCCCUGGGGUAGGGGGCUGGACCUGAUGAUCUUUUGAGGUCCCUUCCAGUCCUAAUGCCUAUGAAAUCUAUGCCUGGAAUGUUAAAACAUGCCCUGCACUUCAAAUUUGCAGCAUGGGGGUAAAUUUUGCUACCAGGAAAUGCUGGUAGCAAAAAUAAAUGGUGUGAAAAAAAGAUAUGGCACAUACAAGAGGAGUGUGUACUGGCAGACAGAGAGGCUUGGUCCUCUUGGGAGAUGCUCUGACUGCUGGCCAGAGCUCUCCACUCCUUUAGUUGUCCCCCGGCUCCUCCAGCAUGCCAAGAGCCAUGAGCAAGGAGAAGGCAGUUUCCCUGAGGCAGGGCAAUUUGCCCCACACCAAAGUGCAUGUUCAGAGGCAUGCACUGCACCAGAAAGUACUGGCACGAAUUUGUGCCACUACUGUUUUGAGGCUGCAAGUGCACCCCUGCAUGCGAGGAUGUGCCCUAGGACUUUAUUUCAUUUGCCAAGGUGUCUCAUAUUGCAUUAGACUCUACUCAGGACCCAUUAUUGCUUCAACAAAUAACAUAAACCAAAGCUGGUAUAGGUUUCAGUUAGCAUUAGGGCUACAUUUUGAAGUACUCUUGAGGCACAUUUACACAAGACAUGUUAAUGUGCCUGAGCACAAAUUACUGCAGAGUAAGGGCUCGUGUCUACAUGUGCAUGCCCUUCCUGCACAGUAAAAAUGGUUAAUCAUGACUAAAUUUGAUACCUGCAAAUGCAGGUAUCAAAUUUAGGCACUAUUUGUUAAAGCACAAUAAUGCACAUAUAGACAUGACCGGGCACUAACUUUAGUGCCAGGUCUGCCUAGACACUAGGGGACCACCCUGAACCCAACCUCAGGGCUCCUGGCUGACUGCUUCUCCUUCCCCAGGGCUGGGAUGCUCUGUGGAAGCCCCUAGCUACAGGCUAUAAACGCCUGUGCCCAUUUUGUGCCCUGGGGCACAUACACCAGGACCUUGGAGCACUUCAGGCCCUGUGUGCCCACCUGGACAGAAUCCAGGCUGCCUCUGCUAGUCCUGUCCCCUAGCCAGAGAUGCUUCUUGGCCACAGGUGCUGUGUCCCAUUUGCUUCUGCCAUGUGGCUCCCGGUCACUGGCCAUGCCCCUCUGAUGAGCACUCCUGUGCAGUAUCCAGGGACAGCCACCAGGGAUAGCCACACAGGGACCCAGAAAGCCGGUGUAGGAUGCACCACCAUGUCCUCCCCAUCUUCCCUAUUGAGGACCAGCCUUACUUGUGUGCGCAUGCCUGAGCCUUCCACCCGAGGCCCCACGUGGAGCCAGGAGGAUAUUAGCAACCUUGUGACCUUCUAGGUUAAGAGGUUAAGAGGCAGUUCACACAGGAUGGGCACUCAAACACCCAUAUUUAUGAUGCCCUGUCAGGUGGCAUGCGAAAGCAAAGGUACUCCUGGACUGUGUGGUAGUGCUGUAUAAAGAUCAAGACCUUGUGGGCACAGUGGGUGUCCCUGACUGACAACAAUUGUCCAGAGUCAUGCCCACAAGACCAUGCCCUUUAUGCAGCAGCUAACCAAUAUUUUGGCAACCCAGGGCCUAGGACACAACCCUGCAGUUUUCACCAGUAGGGGGGGCCUGCCUAAGCCCCCACCCCAUCCUGACCCCUCCGGUGGUGACACCUCCCUAGAGGAGUGGCCCUUGGGUGUUCAGUGCCUUGUCCCACCCACCUCCCCAUCUGCUGUACCCACCAGCAGCUCAGGGAGCCCUGGACAGUGGCUGCCUUGCCAGCUCCACACUCCCAGACCCCACCAUGAGAAGCAGCUGGCCAUGACACCGCUAGUUGCCAGAAGUGCCAGCUCCUCUCCAUGGGGGUGGGGGGUCCUGCCCGGACACCAGCCUGCUACAUACCACAGGCUGCAGACACUGGGUGCAGCUGGAUGCCAUCACUGACAGGGAGGCCCACGCCAAGCUAGCAGCCUCACCUGCCCUGGACACAUGGUAAGUCUUGCACUGGGGAGAGGGCCCUCCCAGUUCCCACCCCUUUCCCUGCUCCUGACCCUGGCCUUUGCCUCCCCACCCAGACUGCCUGCGCUCCCCUGGCCAUGGGUUCCCCCCCACCAGCACACAGAGAGGUGAGACACAGUUCAAAACUUCAUUCAGCAGUCCAUAUCCCCACAGCUGGGUAGGCACUGGCCUCUCUCACCCUGAGGAAUGUGUUGAUGUUGGCAGCUAUAUCCUCCUCAGCAGUUGGGGGCAGGAAUGUGUAGUACUGCCCAGGUAGCUCUUCUGGCAGUGGCAGAUGUUAUGGGACAGCCUAGGCAUGCCCCCAUGCCAUCAUAGUACAGAUUUGCCUGGGGCAUCAGGAGGAUCAUCAGCAACAGGGCAUAGUGCUUCAGGUACCCCUCAGCCUGCACAGACAGUUCACUGGGCACUGCCCAGCGCACACACAGUGGGGGCACACUUGGUGCACAGCAGCAGCAUGGCAGGGGGCCAGCCACAGAGUGCCUCUCUAGAGAGGCCUCCAGUAGGGAGGGUGGUGGUGCAUCCAGCCUCUCACCCCACUUGUCCAGGAGCCCUAUAUGCACUGAACCCAAGUGCCAUAGGCCGGGGGGGGGUGGGAGGGGGCAGGAGAAAGAGGGAGCAUGAGGUCUGGAGCCACAGCAGGAGGUGCUGCUAGCAGCCUGGCCUGUCCUACCCUGGUAAAGGGGCAUGGGAUGCAGGCUGCCUGCAGCCAGUACGCAGUGGGCCACCAGCCCCAGGGGAGCAAGUGUGGAUGGGGAGGCUUGACCAGUAGAUACUUGGGCCCAGGCCUGCCCAGUUGAAUUACCAUGGUCCCUGGGCACCUGUGCACAGACAGGCCCACGUUUGAGGCUGGGCAGCGCACGGCCUCUGGUACAGAGCAUCUUAUCUCUGAAAUGUUUUAAACUCUCAAAAAAGGCUUCUGUCUCUUGCCUCUGCAGGGCCAACUUCUGGAAGUGGGGGAGAGCCUACCAGCCACAGCAGAGAUGGCGGCUCCAAGUCGCUGGUAUCCAGCACUGGAGCCACCUGGUUCUGCCAGUGGCUCACCAUGGACCAGACUGUCCUACUCUAGCAGCUGGUGGUGGUGGCAGAGGAGUGGGAGGGGUGGGAGUGGGAAGUGCAGGAGCAGGCCGGCAGGUGGAGGAUGUCACCCAGGAAGAGGUGGAUUCUUGGGUUCAGUGGGAGCACUGGGCGCAGAUGGAGGCCCUGGAGCAGGAGUGCAUUGAGGCACUAGGCCCAGGCAGUGAAGGCAGCAGACACUGACCGCUGGACCCUGGACACCCUCCUGGGCCUGGAGGUCAUGUCCCCCACUGCCCAGUUCCCGUCUAUGGCCCUGCAGGGCCCCUGGGUCCCACCCACUGUCCCACAUCAGGCCCCCGCCUGGCCCUGGGAGGUGGUCCUUCAGCGUCUCCUGCCCAUUGGGAAGGGCGGUCUAUGUGUUUAGGUGGGAGGGAUGAGAGUAAGGGUUUUGAAGGUAAUAAAGCUUAUAUGUUUCAACCAUGUUCAUGUCCUGAGAAUGGUGCUGGGGAUGGGCAGGUGGGUAGAGGGUGUGUAGGCAGUGGGGUAGGUGGGUUGGAGUGAGAGUGCAGGUAGACACCUGCCAAAAAUCACUUACUGUGUAUUAGAUUAAUGCACAAUGAAUUUAGUCAUGCUCAAAUGGACAUGUAGACAUGCCCUUACUGUACUACAUUAUUAACUGCUUUGUUAAAAACUUUGCUGGAGCUCCCCAAUUUCUACAACUAAAUAUGCUCUAGAAAUAAAUAAUUAUAUAUUUAAAA